GGCGCCAUAGCCAAGUGGUAAGGCAGAGNNAGCUCGUCGGGCUCAUAACCCGAAGGUCAUAGGUUCAAAUCCUGUCUCCGCAA
This 83-nucleotide transfer RNA is filed under the name Clostridiales bacterium. RNAcentral describes it as "tRNA-Met". The stretch from base 18 to 76 matches the Rfam family "tRNA", at positions 7 to 64 of the family's 71-position model. From Rfam's summary of the family: Transfer RNA (tRNA) molecules are approximately 80 nucleotides in length. The record is from RNAcentral. Lineage: Bacteria; Bacillati; Bacillota; Clostridia; Eubacteriales.